Long non-coding RNA from Rosa rugosa (rugosa rose), 1667 nucleotides. RefSeq lists it as uncharacterized. The record is from RefSeq and is a predicted model, not a curated record. The transcript has 6 exons. NCBI's taxonomy places the organism in Eukaryota, Viridiplantae, Streptophyta, Magnoliopsida, Rosales, Rosaceae.
AAAAAAGAAUUCCAAUGGCUUCACCAAUUUGCGUCGGCCUUCAAUUGCCGUCGCUAAAGCCUCCUCUUUCGCCACGGCAAAACUUGAGGGGUCGCGAUUGUGCAAAAUAUUUGCGACGGUAACAACUGCCGUCGCCAUUGGGCGUCGCAAACCCAAUGAUUUACUUCGGCAAGAGUUAGCCGUGGUAAAAUAUUAACAGUUUGCGACUGUAAAGACAUUCAUGCCGUCGCGUUUCUUCAAUUCUUCCCGUGGCUUUUAUGUUUUUAUUUUCCCGUGCUUUCUAUUCCUUUAAGAUUAGCAUCUGAACUAAACGAUUUUACUUCUCUUUCUCUCUACUUUGCCGUCCUUCUUUGAGUCCAUCUCGAUUCGAUACCGAUGAGUGCUAUAGAUUUCCUCUCUCCAUCACCUCCUUCAACUAUUUUCCCCUCUCGAUCUGUCAUAUUCUCUGCGGAGUGCAUGCAGCCCCAUCCCCUCGUUCUUACUUUCCUCUUUUCCCUUUAUAUACCUUCCGAUCCCCUCCCUCCACUCCUCCACUUUCACAGCAGAUUGGUCAAACUCCAACCAACUUUCUACCAUUUUCAGAUCGCUUCGUUUUCUUCAUCGGAAUCCAUGGCGAAACAACCAGCUCGCGUCCUCGUUACCAGAGCCACAGGUACUGUAACGCAUCCAUAUCUUUCCUGGAUCAGAGUUUCAAAAGCCAUGUGAUUUUCCGGCCUAAGACAACCUCGAGGCUUUGUUGAUUCGAGGUUGGCUUAGGGUGGAGUGGCGGAUCUGUUGUAGCGUUCUCUGAGGACGACGGCAAAGGUUUGGAUCUACCAGGGAUCGAAGGCGUUCGAUGGGACAGGGGAGUGGGCCUGAGCCUAGAGCUUGGGUGCUCGCGGCAGAUGGGCGAUGCAAGAUUAGCGCAAUGGUUGAAUCAAAUGCUGAAGGAAAUUCCUUUUUCUGGAAUUCUGAGCAACAGGCAAUCACUUAAUCCAGUUCUCCAUCAAAAGCCGUCUGAAUUUCUCCAUAUCAGAGACUGUCUGCUGAUGUUCCUGUACAACUUCAUGAGAGGUUUCAAGGUGAGAGUAUCACUAGGUCCUCAGUUAUAGAGGAACCUGGAGACCAUGGAGAAGCACACUUAGUAGCUCUGGGUGAAUUAGAAUUCCGUAAACAAUUUCUAAUAUUAAGUGAUGCUGGAGGCUCAUGAUGAGAGUCAUGCACAAGAUGCGUCGUGGGGGUUGUCUAACAUAAGGGCUGUUGACGAAACUUAAAAUCAGGUUGACGGUCCAUCCGAAAACCCAGUCAAUAAGGACGAGAUCAGUGAGGUGCCAGAUUUAUAUCUUGGUGCAAGCAUUCAUCUCUCAAGAGAUCCUAAUAAUGUUAAGGAUCCCAAUGCCAUCCAGUGUAGGACCUAUUGCUAUAGAGAGAAGAAGAGUGGUGGAGAAGGAGAUAGACACAAAGAAGAACAUAGCUAUCAAUGAAUGAAUGAAGCAAAGAAGAAUACCAAUGCGGUUGAACUUAUGCGCUUGAAUUCUGAUUAUGUAGGUCAUGAUACUUAGCCUACUGAGCGUCAGCAUUAUGUAUUUUAAUUUUUGAAUGUUUUUGUAUUUUCAAGAUUGGUGAAGUUGUAUGAAAUGUAUAGAAAUAAUGUGAAAAAAACAUAUGAAAUUAUGAUUUAUAUGGCU